Molecule: ribosomal RNA, 253 nt
Filed under: uncultured bacterium
Lineage: Bacteria
Description: partial 16S ribosomal RNA
Rfam family: Bacterial small subunit ribosomal RNA
Source: RNAcentral
UACGUAGGGGGCUAGCGUUGUCCGGAUUUAUUGGGCGUAAAGAGCGUGUAGGCGGCCAAGUAGGUCCGGUGUGAAAAUUCGAGGCUCAACCUCGAACUUGCGGUGGGUACGGGCAGACUAGAGUGUGGUAGGGGAGACUGGAAUUCCUGGUGUAGCGGUGAAAUGCGCAGAUAUCAGGAGGAACACCGAUGGCGAAGGCAGGUCUCUGGGCCACUACUGACGCUGAGAAGCGAAAGCAUGGGGAGCGAACAGG